CGAGGGGUAACAGAGAGAGCUUGCUCUUUGCUGACGACCGGCGCACGGGUGCGUAACGCGUAUACAAUCUGCCUAUCACUGAGGGAUAGCCCGAAGAAAUUUGGAUUAAUACCUCAUAGUAUUAUAGAAUCGCAUGGUUUUAUAAUUAAAGGUUACGGUGAUAGAUGAGUAUGCGUCCUAUUAGCUAGAUGGAGAGGUAAAGGCUCCCCAUGGCUACGAUAGGUAGGGGUCCUGAGAGGGAGAUCCCCCACACUGGUACUGAGACACGGACCAGACUCCUACGGGAGGCAGCAGUGAGGAAUAUUGGACAAUGGGCGCAAGCCUGAUCCAGCCAUGCCGCGUGUAGGAAGACGGCCCUAUGGGUUGUAAACUACUUUUAUACGGGAAGAAACCUAUCCUCGUGAGGGUAGCUGACGGUACCGUAAGAAUAAGCACCGGCUAACUCCGUGCCAGCAGCCGCGGUAAUACGGAGGGUGCAAGCGUUAUCCGGAAUCAUUGGGUUUAAAGGGUCCGUAGGCGGGCUAAUAAGUCAGUGGUGAAAUGCAGGGGCUCAACUCCGGCACUGCCAUUGAUACUGUUAGUCUUGAAUUAUUGUGAAGUGGUUAGAAUAUGUAGUGUAGCGGUGAAAUGCUUAGAUAUUACAUAGAAUACCGAUUGCGAAGGCAGAUCACUAACAAUAUAUUGACGCUGAUGGACGAAAGCGUGGGUAGCGAACAGGAUUAGAUACCCUGGUAGUCCACGCCGUAAACGAUGGUUACUAGCUGUUUGGACGAAUUGACGUCUGAGUGGCCAAGCGAAAGUGAUAAGUAACCCACCUGGGGAGUACGUUCGCAAGAAUGAAACUCAAAGGAAUUGACGGGGGCCCGCACNAGCGGUGGAGCAUGUGGUUUAAUUCGAUGAUACGCGAGGAACCUUACCAGGGCUUAAAUGUAGUAUGACAGAUUUGGAAACAGAUUUUUCUUCGGACAUAUUACAAGGUGCUGCAUGGUUGUCGUCAGCUCGUGCCGUGAGGUGUCAGGUUAAGUCCUAUAACGAGCGCAACCCCUAUUGCUAGUUGCCAGCGAGUCAAGUCGGGGACUCUAGCGAGACUGCCGGUGCAAACCGUGAGGAAGGUGGGGAUGACGUCAAAUCAUCACGGCCCUUACGUCCUGGGCCACACACGUGCUACAAUGGUAGGGACAGAGAGCAGCCACCACGCGAGUGGGAGCGAAUCUAUAAACCCUAUCACAGUUCGGAUCGUAGUCUGCAACUCGACUACGUGAAGCUGGAAUCGCUAGUAAUCGCAUAUCAGCCAUGAUGCGGUGAAUACGUUCCCGGGCCUUGUACACACCGCCCGUCAAGCCAUGGAAGCUGGGGGUACCUGAAGUCGGUGACCGCAAGGA
RNAcentral lists this ribosomal RNA (1382 nucleotides) under Nonlabens arenilitoris. Its description in RNAcentral is "bacterial SSU rRNA". It matches the Rfam family "Bacterial small subunit ribosomal RNA". The record is from RNAcentral. Lineage: Bacteria; Pseudomonadati; Bacteroidota; Flavobacteriia; Flavobacteriales; Flavobacteriaceae.